AGCGAACGCUGGCGGCAGGCCUAACACAUGCAAGUCGAACGAACUCUUCGGAGUUAGUGGCGGACGGGUGAGUAACACGUGGGAACGUGCCUUUUGGUUCGGAAUAACUCAGGGAAACUUGUGCUAAUACCGAAUGUGCCCCUCGGGGGAAAGAUUUAUCGCCAUUAGAGCGGCCCGCGUCUGAUUAGCUAGUUGGUGAGGUAACGGCUCACCAAGGCGACGAUCAGUAGCUGGUCUGAGAGGAUGACCAGCCACACUGGGACUGAGACACGGCCGAGACUCCUACGGGAGGCAGCAGUGGGGAAUCCUGCGCAAUGGGCGAAAGGCUGACGCAGCCAUGCCGCGUGAAUGAUGAAGGUCUUAGGAUUGUAAAAUUCUUUCACCGGGGACGAUAAUGACGGUACCCGGAGAAGAAGCCCCGGCUAACUUCGUG
Molecule: ribosomal RNA, 433 nt
Filed under: uncultured bacterium
Lineage: Bacteria
Description: partial 16S ribosomal RNA
Rfam family: Bacterial small subunit ribosomal RNA
Source: RNAcentral